UAGUAUUCCAGGGAGUGGAGUCAGGACCACACAGAUUCAGGGCUGGAAGGGAUCUCAGACCAUCCAGUCCAACCCCAGUACCCUGGGAAGAAAACCGAGGUGAGGCGGUGUCAUGUGACCUGCCUGGUCCCGUGGAGAGCCGGGCAGCGUGGGGGCAGAGGCUGGCCCUCCUGAUCUGCACCCAGGCGGCUUCUACACCACCCUGCAGCAGGCCUGGCCACCGGCCUCAGCGCUUCUGGGAGAAGGUCAGCCAGGUGGAAGAUGGAGAGGGCUUCUGGACUGAGCCCUGGAGGGGGGCUAGGGGCCACCAGCAGGCAGAUGAGCCCUGGGACCCAGCUGGCCAACCCACCUGACCACGGUGACAAGGACUGCUUGGGAAGGAUAAGCCCAGGUUCGGGAAAGCAAAUUCAGGCUGCAGGACAGCUGCCCGGGCCCCCCACAAGCCUGGCACCAGCCCAGGGAAGACUGAGGAGCCUCACUCCAUGGGGACUGCAAACACCUGAACACAGCGAACCUGAAGGUAUAGGGCAUCUUCAGGCUGCUACUGAGGCGGUCCUGCCGCACUCAACCCAGAACCUCAUCACUAAAAGGAACCUCAUGGUUCAGGCUAGAGUGCAGUGGCGCGAUCUCGGCUCACUGAAACCUCCGCCUCCCAGGUUCAAGCAAUUCUCCUGCUUCAGCCUCCCAAGUAGCUAGGAGUACAGGAGCUGCCAAAAAGCUUUCAGCUGCUGCAUUGGCCGGGAAUCGAACCCGGGCCUCCCGCGUGGCAGGCGAGAAUUCUACCACUGAACCACCAAUGCUCCAGCUGAGUGCUGUUCUGCCUCCAGCUGUUUUGUUGCUCUGAUUCACAGUGGUGAUGGCACAGCUGUAACCUGACACCUGAGAUGGGUCCAGCAUGGACAGCUGCUGGAUUUUACCAGCCAAACCUAUGGGAGGAGGUGGGGCAUGCAUGCUUGACAUUCUGCUCAGCUGUUCAAAAGAAAAGUCCAUGAAUGGCAAUGGGAGAAUGCUCAGCAAUUCUUUUGGCUCCUGUGGGCAGGUUCCAGACCUUACUCUGUUAUCCUUAAAGAUCUGAGUAGGCUUAGUCUUCCCUAUAAAAAAUUUCUUGACAAAUUAGCUGAAACUGUCAUUCACUUGUUUCUCUUGUUUUAUGGCCUUGUGGGUUAUUCUACUGAAUGCUGUGAUUUCUUUUACCACUGGUUGAUUUGUCUUGUUUUGCUGUCUUGCCUCCUUGACUAGACUGUAAGCCUCUGGAGCACAAGGACUUUGUCUGGUAAACACAGCUUGAUGUAUAACAGAUGUUUGCUAAAUGUUAGAUUUGUAAUAAAUGGAAUUUAACUAGAAAAAAAAAUCUGAGUAGGUUAUAUCUCAGUUUACUCUGGCUGCUUCGGCAAAGGAGGACAUCAACCCAAAGCUGAUCAGUGACCUCUUGGUGAGGACAGAGACCCAAGAAAUAUGAAAGCAUCAGGGUUCUAGAUUACAUCUGGAGUCAAAUUCCAGAUGCCAGUCGGCAUAAAUGUGGUUUCUUUUUUCUUUUUUUUUUGAGAUAGGGUCUUUCUCUGUUGCCUAGGUUGGAAUACAGUGGUGUGAUCAUAGCUCACUGCAACUUCUGCCUCCUGGGCUCCUGGGCUCAAGUGAUCCUCCCGCUUCAGCUUCCUGAGGAGC
RNAcentral lists this long non-coding RNA (1665 nucleotides) under Homo sapiens (human). RNAcentral describes it as "HSALNT0386735". Lineage: Eukaryota; Metazoa; Chordata; Mammalia; Primates; Hominidae. The record is from RNAcentral.